GUUACUUUAGUAUAAUAUGAAUAUUUUAAAUUUAGGUUUUGAAGAUGAUGGUGUAACU
Molecule: transfer RNA, 58 nt
Filed under: Aspiculuris tetraptera
Lineage: Eukaryota; Metazoa; Nematoda; Chromadorea; Rhabditida; Heteroxynematidae
Description: tRNA-Leu
Source: RNAcentral